AUACGUAGGUGGCAAGCGUUAUCCGGAAUUAUUGGGCGUAAAGAGGGAGCAGGCGGCAGCAAGGGUCUGUGGUGAAAGCCUGAAGCUUAACUUCAGUAAGCCAUAGAAACCAGGCAGCUAGAGUGCAGGAGAGGAUCGUGGAAUUCCAUGUUUAGCGGUGAAAUGCGUAGAUAUAUGGAGGAACACCAGUGGCGAAGGCGACGAUCUGGCCUCCAACUGACGCUGAGUCCCGAAAGCGGGGGGAGCAAAUAGGAUUAGAUACCAUAGUAAUCCACGCCGUAAACGAUGAGUACUAAGUGUUGGAUGUCAAAGUUCAGUGCUGCAGUUAACGCAAUAAGUACUCCGCCUGAGUAGUACGUUCGCAAGAAUGAAACUCAAAGGAAUUGACGGGG
Molecule: ribosomal RNA, 392 nt
Filed under: uncultured bacterium
Lineage: Bacteria
Description: partial 16S ribosomal RNA
Rfam family: Bacterial small subunit ribosomal RNA
Source: RNAcentral